RNAcentral lists this ribosomal RNA (800 nucleotides) under uncultured bacterium. RNAcentral describes it as "bacterial SSU rRNA". It matches the Rfam family "Bacterial small subunit ribosomal RNA", at positions 1 to 817 of the family's 1533-position model. The record is from RNAcentral.
GAAUUCGCCCUUAGAGUUUGAUUCUGGCUCAGGACGAACGCUGGCGGCAUGCCUAACACAUGCAAGUCGAACGGGGAUAGCAAUAUCCUAGUGGCGAACGGGUGAGUAACGCGUGAGCAACCUGCCUCAUACAACGGGAUACCCGAGGGAAACUUCGGUUAAUACGGUAUAAGACCACACUACCGCAUGGUAGAGGGGUAAAAGGAGAAAUCCGGUAUGAGAUGGGCUCGCGUCGCAUUAGCUAGUUGGAGAGGUAACGGCUCACCAAGGCGACGAUGCGUAGCCGACCUGAGAGGGUGAACGGCCACAUUGGGACUGAGAUACGGCCCAGACUCCUACGGGAGGCAGCAGUGGGGAAUAUUGGGCAAUGGAGGAAACUCUGACCCAGCAAUGCCGCGUGAAUGAAGAAGGUCUUCGGAUUGUAAAGUUCUUUAGUCAGGGAAGAAAAAAAUGACGGUACCUGAAGAAUAAGCUCCGGCUAACUACGUGCCAGCAGCCGCGGUAAUACGUAGGGAGCAAGCGUUGUUCGGAAUGACUGGGCGUAAAGGGUGCGUAGGCGGUUGUACAAGUUAGAAGUGAAAUACCCAGGGCUUAACUCGGGUGCUGCUUCUAAAACUGUAUGACUUGAGUGCAGUAGAGGUUAGUGGAAUUCCUAGUGUAGCGGUGGAAUGCGUAGAUAUUAGGAGGAACACCAGAGGCGAAGGCGGCUAACUAGACUGCAACUGACGCUGAGGCACGAAAGUGUGGGGAGCAAACAGGAUUAGAUACCCUGGUAGUCCACACUGUAAACGAUGGAUACU